GCCUGACUGGCUCAGUUGGUGGAGCAUCUGAUUCUUGAUCUCGGGGUUGUGAGUUUGAACCCCAUGUUGGGUG
Molecule: transfer RNA, 73 nt
Filed under: Ailuropoda melanoleuca (giant panda)
Lineage: Eukaryota; Metazoa; Chordata; Mammalia; Carnivora; Ursidae
Rfam family: tRNA
About the family: Transfer RNA (tRNA) molecules are approximately 80 nucleotides in length.
Source: Rfam by way of RNAcentral